Molecule: long non-coding RNA, 409 nt
Filed under: Solanum tuberosum (potato)
Lineage: Eukaryota; Viridiplantae; Streptophyta; Magnoliopsida; Solanales; Solanaceae
Description: long non-coding RNA (STUB_LNC004823)
Source: RNAcentral
CCGGGCUUCGCUUUGCAUGGUGUGGGGCUUGAACCUGCGACCUAAGCCACAAAUCCUCCACCUUUUGCCACUUGAGCUAGGCCUUGGGGGCAAACCCUUCACUCUUUUUCAGUUUUUUCAGCUUUUUCCCUCUUAUUGUUUUCUUCUUCAGCAGACUCUUCUUGUUCUUAUUUUUCCAGUUUAUUAAUUUAAUUGUAUUACCUUUUUCAGUUCUUUUUUUUUUCCAGCAGGCAGAAAUUAGUAGUUAAUUUCUAAAUUAAUUUUCUCUUAAUGCAUUGAAUCCUCAACUCAUAAUGGUUUCUCAAUACGAUGGACUAAAUGUGGACAUGUAUAACUAGAGUGCUGUAGGAAUUUGACAAAAAGAAAAUACUGAAUAAUCCAACUGAACUACAGCUAUUUAGGACUCACC